RNAcentral lists this transfer RNA (61 nucleotides) under Rhadinaea pulveriventris. RNAcentral describes it as "tRNA-His". The record is from RNAcentral. Lineage: Eukaryota; Metazoa; Chordata; Lepidosauria; Squamata; Dipsadidae.
UAUGUGUAAUUUAAAAAAAAUAUCAAGCUGUGACCUUGACAUUAGGAAUCCCCUCACACAG